UGGGAGUGUGGCUUAGCGGUAGAGCGCGUGCCUGGCAUGCAUGAGGCCCUGGGUUCGAUUCCCCAGCACCACAU
Molecule: non-coding RNA, 74 nt
Organism: Perognathus longimembris pacificus (Pacific pocket mouse)
Lineage: Eukaryota; Metazoa; Chordata; Mammalia; Rodentia; Heteromyidae
Source: the annotation of a RefSeq genome assembly